RNAcentral lists this ribosomal RNA (1703 nucleotides) under Salmonella enterica subsp. enterica serovar Derby. RNAcentral describes it as "bacterial LSU rRNA". It matches the Rfam family "Bacterial large subunit ribosomal RNA", at positions 1223 to 2903 of the family's 2925-position model. The record is from RNAcentral. Lineage: Bacteria; Pseudomonadati; Pseudomonadota; Gammaproteobacteria; Enterobacterales; Enterobacteriaceae.
GUUGGGUAGGGGAGCGUUCUGUAAGCCUGUGAAGGUGGCCUGUGAGGGUUGCUGGAGGUAUCAGAAGUGCGAAUGCUGACAUAAGUAACGAUAAAGCGGGUGAAAAGCCCGCUCGCCGGAAGACCAAGGGUUCCUGUCCAACGUUAAUCGGGGCAGGGUGAGUCGACCCCUAAGGCGAGGCCGAAAGGCGUAGUCGAUGGGAAACGGGUUAAUAUUCCCGUACUUGGUGUUACUGCGAAGGGGGGACGGAGAAGGCUAUGUUGGCCGGGCGACGGUUGUCCCGGUUUAAGCGUGUAGGUGUGUGUUCCAGGUAAAUCCGGUUCACUUUAACACUGAGGCGUGAUGACGAGGCACUACGGUGCUGAAGCAACAAAUGCCCUGCUUCCAGGAAAAGCCUCUAAGCAUCAGGUAACAUCAAAUCGUACCCCAAACCGACACAGGUGGUCAGGUAGAGAAUACCAAGGCGCUUGAGAGAACUCGGGUGAAGGAACUAGGCAAAAUGGUGCCGUAACUUCGGGAGAAGGCACGCUGACAUGUAGGUGAAGUGAUUUACUCAUGGAGCUGAAGUCAGUCGAAGAUACCAGCUGGCUGCAACUGUUUAUUAAAAACACAGCACUGUGCAAACACGAAAGUGGACGUAUACGGUGUGACGCCUGCCCGGUGCCGGAAGGUUAAUUGAUGGGGUCAGCGCAAGCGAAGCUCCUGAUCGAAGCCCCGGUAAACGGCGGCCGUAACUAUAACGGUCCUAAGGUAGCGAAAUUCCUUGUCGGGUAAGUUCCGACCUGCACGAAUGGCGUAAUGAUGGCCAGGCUGUCUCCACCCGAGACUCAGUGAAAUUGAACUCGCUGUGAAGAUGCAGUGUACCCGCGGCAAGACGGAAAGACCCCGUGAACCUUUACUAUAGCUUGACACUGAACAUUGAGCCUUGAUGUGUAGGAUAGGUGGGAGGCUUUGAAGCGUGGACGCCAGUCUGCGUGGAGCCGGCCUUGAAAUACCACCCUUUAAUGUUUGAUGUUCUAACGUGGACCCGUGAUCCGGGUUGCGGACAGUGUCUGGUGGGUAGUUUGACUGGGGCGGUCUCCUCCUAAAGAGUAACGGAGGAGCACGAAGGUUGGCUAAUCCUGGUCGGACAUCAGGAGGUUAGUGCAAUGGCAUAAGCCAGCUUGACUGCGAGCGUGACGGCGCGAGCAGGUGCGAAAGCAGGUCAUAGUGAUCCGGUGGUUCUGAAUGGAAGGGCCAUCGCUCAACGGAUAAAAGGUACUCCGGGGAUAACAGGCUGAUACCGCCCAAGAGUUCAUAUCGACGGCGGUGUUUGGCACCUCGAUGUCGGCUCAUCACAUCCUGGGGCUGAAGUAGGUCCCAAGGGUAUGGCUGUUCGCCAUUUAAAGUGGUACGCGAGCUGGGUUUAGAACGUCGUGAGACAGUUCGGUCCCUAUCUGCCGUGGGCGCUGGAGAACUGAGGGGGGCUGCUCCUAGUACGAGAGGACCGGAGUGGACGCAUCACUGGUGUUCGGGUUGUCAUGCCAAUGGCACUGCCCGGUAGCUAAAUGCGGAAGAGAUAAGUGCUGAAAGCAUCUAAGCACGAAACUUGCCCCGAGAUGAGUUCUCCCUGAGACUUAAAGUCUCCUGAAGGAACGUUGAAGACGACGACGUUGAUAGGCCGGGUGUGUAAGCGCAGCGAUGCGUUGAGCUAACCGGUACUA